Molecule: ribosomal RNA, 253 nt
Filed under: uncultured bacterium
Lineage: Bacteria
Description: partial 16S ribosomal RNA
Rfam family: Bacterial small subunit ribosomal RNA
Source: RNAcentral
UACGUAGGUGGCAAGCGUUGUCCGGAUUUACUGGGCGUAAAGAGCGCGCAGGCGGUCGUUCAAGUCGCGUGUGAAAGCCCCCGGCUCAACUGGGGAGGGUCACGCGAUACUGAUCGACUCGAAGGCAGGAGAGGGAAGUGGAAUUCCCGGUGUAGUGGUGAAAUGCGUAGAUAUCGGGAGGAACACCAGUGGCGAAGGCGGCUCACUGGACCGGAACUGACGCUGAGGCGCGAAAGCGUGGGGAGCAAACGGG